This 500-nucleotide ribosomal RNA is filed under the name uncultured bacterium. Its description in RNAcentral is "bacterial SSU rRNA". It matches the Rfam family "Bacterial small subunit ribosomal RNA", at positions 8 to 507 of the family's 1533-position model. The record is from RNAcentral.
AGAGUUUGAUCAUGGCUCAGAUUGAACGCUGGCGGUAUGCUUAACACAUGCAAGUCGAACGGUUAACAGGGCCUUCGGGCGCUGACGAGUGGCGACGGGUGAGUAACGCGUAGGAAUCUGCCUCAUAGUGGGGGACAACGUGGGGAAACUCGCGCUAAUACCGCAUACGCCCUACGGGGAAACGGGGGAUCUUCGGACCUCGCGCUAUGAGAUGAGCCUGCGUUAGAUUAGCUAGUUGGUAGGGUAAAGGCCUACCAAGGCGACGAUCUAUAGCUGGUCUGAGAGGACGAUCAGCCACACUGGGACUGAGACACGGCCCAGACUCCUACGGGAGGCAGCAGUGGGGAAUAUUGGACAAUGGGCGCAAGCCUGAUCCAGCAAUACCGCGUGUGUGAAGAAGGCCUUAGGGUUGUAAAGCACUUUCAAUUGGGAGGAAAACCUGCCGGUCAAUACCCGGCAGCUUGACAUUACCUUUAGAAGAAGCACCGGCUAACUCCGUG